Molecule: long non-coding RNA, 735 nt
Filed under: Nicotiana benthamiana
Lineage: Eukaryota; Viridiplantae; Streptophyta; Magnoliopsida; Solanales; Solanaceae
Description: long non-coding RNA (NBEN_LNC008980)
Source: RNAcentral
AUGACUAUAUUGAAGCUGGAAUUCAAGAAGAAAUAGCUGAGAGUAAGUCUUGUUUGGCUGAUGUUGAAGUGAAACUUCUAGGGUUUGAUGCAAUGAUCAAGAUUUUAUCAAGAAGAAGACCUGGCCAACUUAUCAAGACUAUUGCUGCAUUAGAAGAUAUGCAGCUUAAUAUUCUUCAUACAAAUAUUACUACUAUUGAAAUGAUCAAGAUUCUAUCAAGAAGAAGACCUGGCCAGCUUAUCAAGACUAUUGCUGCAUUAGAAGAUAUGCAGCUUAAUAUUCUUCAUACAAAUAUUACUACUAUUGAACAAACUGUUCUCUACUCAUUCAAUGUCAAGGUAUUUAUCCUGCCAUCUAAUUGUUUUCACAUACUAACAAUGUUUAACGCUAUGUUGCCCGGACUCUCCAAAAUAUUGUUGCACCGAGGGGCGAAGGCACAAGCCGAACUACGGGUUCGGCUGAACUCAGUAAUUUUUGCUCAAAUAGUGUAUUUGGUGUUUAAAAUCAUCAAAUAUAAACAAAUAUUAAAUACCACAUAAUUGAUUAUGUUUAACACUCUGUUGCUCGGACUCUUCAAAAUCUUGACGCACCCAGGGGCUGAGGCACAAUUCAACUAAGCCUAGCAGUUUUUGCUCAAACAGUAUAUUUGGUGUUUACAAUUCAUCAAAUAUAUACAACAACAACAACAACCCAGUAUAAUCCCACUUAGUGGGGUCUGGGGAGGGUAGUGUGNNN